Molecule: ribosomal RNA, 306 nt
Filed under: uncultured bacterium
Lineage: Bacteria
Description: partial 16S ribosomal RNA
Rfam family: Bacterial small subunit ribosomal RNA
Source: RNAcentral
GACAGCAGUAGCCACGGUAAUACGAAGGGGGCUAGCGUUGUUCGGAAUCACUGGGCGUAAAGCGCACGUAGGCGGACACUUAAGUCAGAGGUGAAAUCCCAAGGCUCAACCUUGGAACUGCCUUUGAUACUGGGUGUCUUGAGUUCGGGAGAGGUGAGUGGAACUGCGAGUGUAGAGGUGAAAUUCGUAGAUAUUCGCAAGAACACCAGUGGCGAAGGCGGCUCACUGGCCCGAUACUGACGCUGAGGCACGAAAGCGUGGGGAGCAAACAGGAUUAGAUACCCGAGUAGUCCCUGUCUCUUAUAC